AGCAGUCGCCACGGUAAUACAGAGGAUGCAAGCGUUAUCCGGAAUGAUUGGGCGUAAAGCGUCUGUAGGUGGCUUUUCAAGUCCGCCGUCAAAUCCCAGGGCUCAACCCCGGACAGGCGGUGGAAACUACCAAGCUGGAGUAUGGUAGGGGCAGAGGGAAUUUCCGGUGGAGCGGUGAAAUGCGUUGUGAUCGGAAAGAACACCAACGGUGAAAGCACUCUGCUGGGCCGACACUGACACUGAGAGACGAAAGCUAGGGGAGCAAAUGAGAUUAGAUACCCCGGUAGUCCCUGUCUCUUAUAA
Molecule: ribosomal RNA, 303 nt
Filed under: uncultured bacterium
Lineage: Bacteria
Description: partial 16S ribosomal RNA
Rfam family: Bacterial small subunit ribosomal RNA
Source: RNAcentral